Molecule: ribosomal RNA, 384 nt
Filed under: uncultured bacterium
Lineage: Bacteria
Description: bacterial SSU rRNA
Rfam family: Bacterial small subunit ribosomal RNA
Source: RNAcentral
AACGAACGCUGGCGGCAUGCCUAACACAUGCAAGUCGAACGAGACCUUCGGGUCUAGUGGCGCACGGGUGCGUAACACGUGGGAAUUUGCCUCGGGGUAUGGAAUAACUCAGGGAAACUUGAGCUAAUACCAUAUAAUGUCUUCGGACCAAAGAUUUAUCGCCCUGAGAUAAGCCCGCGUAGGAUUAGCUAGUUGGUGAGGUAAAGGCUCACCAAGGCGACGAUCUUUAGCUGGUCUGAGAGGAUGAUCAGCCACACUGGGACUGAGACACGGCCCAGACUCCUACGGGAGGCAGCAGUGGGGAAUAUUGGACUAUGGGCGAAAGCCUGAUCCAGCAAUGCCGCGUGAGUGAUGAAGGCCUUAGGGUUGUAAAGCUCUUUUACC